Molecule: signal recognition particle RNA, 96 nt
Filed under: Buchnera aphidicola (Macrosiphoniella sanborni)
Lineage: Bacteria; Pseudomonadati; Pseudomonadota; Gammaproteobacteria; Enterobacterales; Erwiniaceae
Description: signal recognition particle sRNA small type
Rfam family: Bacterial small signal recognition particle RNA
About the family: The signal recognition particle (SRP) is a universally conserved ribonucleoprotein involved in the co-translational targeting of proteins to membranes. Archaeal SRP consists of a 7S RNA and homologues of the eukaryotic SRP19 and SRP54 proteins.
Source: RNAcentral
UGUUAGCUCCAAACACUGUAAAAUUGAAUAUUUGGUCAGAUUCGGAAGAAAGCAGCCACAUCAAUUCAUACAGGUGUUCUGAUUAAGCUAACAGAA